This 224-nucleotide long non-coding RNA is filed under the name Elaeis guineensis (African oil palm). RNAcentral's name for it is "long non-coding RNA (EGUI_LNC054119)". Lineage: Eukaryota; Viridiplantae; Streptophyta; Magnoliopsida; Arecales; Arecaceae. The record is from RNAcentral.
UUUGAUGGAUAAAAUUUUGGCCGUCGGAUUGUGCAAAAGAGUCCUUCUUUCAACCGGCAAUGAAUGUGGAUCGUUGGAUCUGAAUCAAAUUGAAACUUACCCAUUCGAUCAUGUAAAAUAGCUUUUGUCCGCCUGUGAACCAUGCCUGUGGAUCGUGAACUAUUUCUGUGGACCGCACCCUGAUUUCUAUGGAUCGAUUGGCUGGUCCAUCGUGCACUAGAGGC